UAGGGAAUCUUCGGCAAUGGACGGAAGUCUGACCGAGCAACGCCGCGUGAGUGAAGAAGGUUUUCGGAUCGUAAAGCUCUGUUGUAAGAGAAGAACGAGUGUGAGAGUGGAAAGUUCACACUGUGACGGUAACUUACCAGAAAGGGACGGCUAACUACGUGCCAGCAGCCGCGGUAAUACGUAGGUCCCGAGCGUUAUCCGGAUUUAUUGGGCGUAAAGCGAGCGCAGGCGGUUAGAUAAGUCUGAAGUUAAAGGCUGUGGCUUAACCAUAGUACGCUUUGGAAACUGUUUAACUUGAGUGCAGAAGGGGAGAGUGGAAUUCCAUGUGUAGCGGUGAAAUGCGUAGAUAUAUGGAGGAACACCGGUGGCGAAAGCGGCUCUCUGGUCUGUAACUGACGCUGAGGCUCGAAAGCGUGGGGAGCAAACAGGAUUAGAUACCCUGGUAGUCCACGCCAUAAACGAUGAGUGCUAGGUGUUGGAGGGUUUCCGUCCUUCAGUGCCGGAGCUAACGCAUUAAGCACUCCGCCUGGGGAGUACGACCGCAAGGUUG
RNAcentral lists this ribosomal RNA (550 nucleotides) under uncultured bacterium. Its description in RNAcentral is "bacterial SSU rRNA". It matches the Rfam family "Bacterial small subunit ribosomal RNA", at positions 355 to 896 of the family's 1533-position model. The record is from RNAcentral.